Molecule: transfer RNA, 72 nt
Filed under: Ictidomys tridecemlineatus (thirteen-lined ground squirrel)
Lineage: Eukaryota; Metazoa; Chordata; Mammalia; Rodentia; Sciuridae
Description: Spermophilus tridecemlineatus (thirteen-lined ground squirrel) tRNA
Rfam family: tRNA
About the family: Transfer RNA (tRNA) molecules are approximately 80 nucleotides in length. Their secondary structure includes four short double-helical elements and three loops (D, anti-codon, and T loops).
Source: Rfam by way of RNAcentral
AGGGGUAUAGCUCAAUGGUAGAGUGCUUGCCUAGCAUGUGUGAGGCCUUGGGUUCCAUACCCAGUACUGCAA